CAGACAAAAGUGAAGUUUUAAUCUAGUUCUUACAAUUCCAGAGCUAAUGUCCAUUCCAAUCCCUUUAAUGGAAGAAAAUUGGAAAUGGGGGAAUGGAUUUGUAGGUGUCCCCUUUAAUAAUGGGGAGGGGGUGUUGGUCAGUAAAUUUUGGCUUUUGGAAUAGCUAAUUCCUAGAAGCUGAGAAAUAUAGUUGACAUGUGAGUCCCUUGCUUCCAACCUAUCAAUCCAUAUCUCAACUAUGAAUCAGAAUAAAAAAGGCCAGAAACAAUAAAUUAUUGGUAAAGAGUCAAAUCCUCAGGCUAGCCCAGCGUACAGGAUAAAAAGCAAACAUCUUUUCUGUCCCCCAUCCUCACCCACUAUUAAGCCUCUGGUAUCAAAGAGAUCUUUUUUUCCCUCAUAGUAAAGUCCUUUGGGGAAAGAGCCCUUCUUAUAUCCAAGUCAAUUUCUGCUUUCUCUUAAAAUAACUUCUUAUUCUGACCAUGAGCAAAAAAUACAUUUCUGUACAAGAGCACAACAAAAAUAGGAUUCUGUGUAAAAUCUUGAAUCCUCAUUCCAUACUCUUUUUUUUUUUUUUAAGUAUAGAACAAAAACUGCCUUUUUCUAUGUUUCUUUCUGAAGUUCCUUCUGUUCUCUUCUGGGCAUUUAAGAACAUUGCAGUAACCCUCUUUUGAAUCACAUCAUUAUUAGUAACCUUUUUUUCUUAUUCCCCCCCCCCCUUCAAUAAAAAGAAGAAAAAAGGGGGAUUGAACCUCUGUAAAAUAAACUUCAUCAAGUAAAACAAAUUCACACAGUAGCCAAGGGCAGAAUUAUAUGCUUCUGUACUUUGUAUCCAUCACUUUAUCAGAAUCUAGGUCUGAAUCCUUGUUCUGCUAUUUACUACCAGUGUAACCUCAGGAAAGUUUUAAUUCCAUAAACCUGUUACUUCAUGUAGACCUCACCUCCUUAAACCGUGGUUUGUAAUUUCCUCGUGUUUUCAUGAAUGUGGGAGUCACAAAAUUAUGAAAUCAGUAAAUAUUUGAUUUGUAUGUCAUUUUUAUAUGCCCAUAUACCCAGGAUCAUGUAAAAAUUUCUUGGGCAAAAAGAGGUCAAGAGUGGGAAAAGUUUUAAGAAGCCCCGAUCUAUAUAAUGAAGGAACAAUUCUAAGUUGACAGUUUUAGAUAACAUGGCGCACCUGGAUCCAUUCCUGAGUCUUUCCUCUUUUAUCUACACACCAAUAACCUCCUCUGGCCAAGAUACCUCCAGCCUUGCAGCCCUUCUUCUAAUGGGGGGCGGGGGAGGGCACUAUUUCAUCAAGAUCCUGGUGUUAUUCAGUCAUUUCAUUCAUGUUCAACUCUUUGUGACCCCAUUUGGAGUCACAAAGAUACUGAAAUAAUUUGCCAUUUCCAGCUCAUUUUACAGAUAAGGAGACUGAGGCAAACAGGGUUAAAUAACUUGCUAAAAAGUAUUUUAGGCCAGAUUUGAAUGUGAGAAGAUUAAUCUUAACUCUAGACUGCUGUAGACAGCAACACCAUCCUCCCCAUCUCUUAGGGUCAAAACCUAGGAGCCAUCCUCGAUUCUUCACUCUCUCUCUUCUCCCUUUCCCCAUAUCCAAGCAUUGUCAGGACCUACUGAUUGCAUUUUUGCAGCAUCUCUCCAAUCAGCUUCUUCUCCUGACAUUGCCAGCACUGUCAUAAAGGCCCUUGUUAUCUUCUUAUGGCAAUGGCCUGCUGAAGGUUGUGCUUGCCUUAAGAUUCCCACCAUUCCAAUCCAUCCUCCAGUCAUCAGAGUCAUUUUCCUAAAACCCAAGUAUGUACGUGUUACUCCACCAGGGGCUAUCUAUUACCUCCAAGAGCAAAUGCAAAAUGCUCUUUUGGGUGUUCAAAAUCCUUAGUAACCUCUCCCUCCCCCCAAUCUUUCCAGUCUUCUUACACUUUAUUCCCUGACACAUACUCUUUGGUCCAGUGAUCCUUGCAACCUGGCUCCUCCAAACAAGAUACUUCAUUUCUAGGUAGCCUAACUUCUAUUCCUUCUUUGAAGAGACUACUGAGGUGAAGUGUCUCAUACACUGACAACUUCAAUAAUUGUGUUGAUUAGUUUUGUUGAAUUGAUUUUCUUCUCCCUUCCCUUUCUGUUUUUAAAUUUGCAGUUAAAAGGGAGAGGAAAUAAAUAUAGUAGAAAAUGAAAGUGUUAUUAAAAAAUUUCAAUAAAAGUUAGAAACUAUAUAUUGCACUCUCAUCAUGCCCCCUUUUUGUCAGCUUCUUUAAUGACCCAUGAUGUCAAUUCUUUUUUUUAAUUAAAUUUAAUUAAAGCUUUUUAUUUUCAAAAUAAUUUGGAUGAGCAUUUUGUAAAUAAAUGGACUAUUUUCAACAUUUACCCUUACAAAAUCUAAUUUUUCCCCUCUCUUACCCCCACCUCUUUCCCUAGACACCAAGUAAUCCGAUAUAUGUUAAACAUGAGCAAUUCUUCUAUACAUAUUUCCACACUUAUCAUCGUACACAAGAAAAAUCAGAUCAAAAAGGGGAAAAAAAUGAGAAUGAGAAUGUAAAAAAACAACAAAAAGUGAAAAUCCUAUGUUGUGGUCUACACUCAGUCCCCACAAUCCUCUUUCUAGGUGCAGAUGUCUCUCUUCAUCACAAGACCACUGGAAUUGGCCCACAUCACAUGAUGUCAAUUCUUUAUUUUUUGCUGAGGCAAUUGGAGUUAAGUGACUUGCCCAGGAUCACACAGCCAGGACGUGUUAAGAGUCUGAGACCAGAUUUGAACUCAGAUCCUCCUGAUCAGGGCCACUCUACCCAGACAUAUGUGGAAAUACACCUAACCUAUGUGGACAAAACAACACACGCCACUACCUCUUCUACAAAUAUUUUUUAAAAGAUUUUUUGUUUGUGCCAGCCUAUGAAAAUAUUAUAAAAGUUGAAUCUGAAACACUCCUGGACACAAGCUUAUUUUUCUUGUCACAAGUGUGGACACCUAAUUCUUUGCCUGGAAGGAGAGGAUGCUGAUAAUAAAGACAAUUUUCUGGAUUCUCUCCUCAGCCUGCUGAUCCAGAAGUGCUAGGAAUUUUCCAGAAGAAGAAACACAAAGGAAAAAAAAAAGCCAGUUCCCUGAUCAGCGAAUGAUUAAAUAAGGGAAACUUAUUUCUGCUUAAAAUCUGCUUAAAAAUGGAGUAUCCACAAAUAACUAUGCAUUUAAAUAUUUGCUGACCAGAGGCCAGGUUAGCAAUUUUGAGGUUAGUGUCCAGGGGUCUCUGGAAGUUAGUCCAGUGGAAUAGUACAAGACUGCAAAUCAGGAGACCUAUUAUUUACUAGCCCUUGCGAGCUUGGGUUAGAGAUAACUAAUUAAUAACUUCAUGCCUCUGAGUUUCUAGGUUCUCAUUUCUAAUAUGAUGAUAAUAAUAUCUCCCUUUGCCUACCUCCAAAAUUGUAGGGAAGAUCACAUGAAGUAAUGAGUGCAUUGUUAGAUGAUUUUAGGUAUACGUGGCAAAACGAGCUGUAUAGCAGGAAAUAACCUGAAGAGGGGGAACAAGGUGUGCAGAGGAGGAAAACAGGAAGGCAGUAGUGAAAGGUUGUUUACCCCAAGAUUAAUGAUUUUGUUAUUGAGUAGCCUGUACCGUGAUGGGGUAAAGACAAAGAAAUCUGGGUAUGAGAUGAUGUAAUGAGAUGGUAUAUAAGAAGGAAUGUAACUGCUAGAAGCCACGACUUCAUUAGAGAGCACAUGUAGAGUGCUUAAUAAACGCUUUCCAUGCUUGACAA
This is a long non-coding RNA of Antechinus flavipes (yellow-footed antechinus), 3731 nucleotides long. RefSeq lists it as uncharacterized. The transcript has 3 exons. The record is from RefSeq and is a predicted model, not a curated record. Lineage: Eukaryota; Metazoa; Chordata; Mammalia; Dasyuromorphia; Dasyuridae.